GGAGAAUUGACCGAGAGGCCGAAAGUGCUCCCCUGCUAAGGGAGUGGUCCUUAGGGGCCCGAAGGUUCGAAUCCUUCAUUCUCCGCCA
Molecule: transfer RNA, 88 nt
Filed under: Erwinia phage pEa_SNUABM_9
Lineage: Duplodnaviria; Heunggongvirae; Uroviricota; Caudoviricetes; Chimalliviridae
Description: tRNA-Ser
Rfam family: tRNA
About the family: Transfer RNA (tRNA) molecules are approximately 80 nucleotides in length. Their secondary structure includes four short double-helical elements and three loops (D, anti-codon, and T loops).
Source: RNAcentral